CGGUUAUUACCUAAAAAAUUAUUAUAGAUAGAGAUAAACUGUAAGCAGCAAUUAUGUUCAGCAAAGUAAGAUCUACAAAUAAGUCAACAUGAUCAAAAUGGUCAGUUGACCCUUUAAGGAGUUAUUGCAGUCUUUUUUUACCAAUUUUUCAUAAAUUUUUGUUAUCUUUUACAAAAAUCUUCUCCUCUGAAACUACUGGACCAA
Molecule: long non-coding RNA, 204 nt
Filed under: Mytilus galloprovincialis (Mediterranean mussel)
Lineage: Eukaryota; Metazoa; Mollusca; Bivalvia; Mytilida; Mytilidae
Source: RNAcentral